UCUUUAUAUGCUUAUGACUCAGUUCAUCAUUCAACAUUCACAACAACAACCCUCUUUUAUGCACAAGAGAUACCAAACACUACACAUCAAAGGGAAGAACCUAACGGCAUCCUCUCCUUGAACCUCGCAUAUGCUACAACCAGAACUUUAACCAGAUUGGACUCGAGCUUGAGUAGAGAUCGAUCAGCUUGGUAGAGCUUGGAAAGGAGCGCUUUAACUCCUUCUUAGUCUACCAAAUGGAAUACUGAACACCUAAAUAAAAGUAAAAGAAGAACUUAACCAGAUUACACCUCAACAGUACCUUUUGACUAUUGAUUGUUUUCUGUUGCUUUCUUUGAAAGCUCAUUCAUAGUUUAUAGUAGUUAUAUUUAAUUUUAGGGUUACUUAGGCUGAGGGCAUUCUUUUUGACAAACCCUUCAAGACCUCAUUCCCACAUGAUACUCCUUCUAAUAUUUGUCAUUUGUCUUCACAACAUCAAAAUUUGCAUUAGAGUUCUCCUCCUCUUCGUCAUAAGCAAGAAAAAGAAGUUUUAGUCCUUAAAAAUGACGGAAUCCGCCAUUUCCAUCAACAAUUUCAAGCUAUCCGGAGAGAAUUUUCUUGCAAACAUGUAAGGAUACGUUGAAUUCGACUCUCUGAGCUUGUAAAUCAGCUCAGGGGAAACUUCAGGUGGCUGAUAAGUAUGGGGAUGUCCACCAACUGAGUCAGUCCAAUUCACCCGAGUCAAUGUGUGCCGAGUACAGCCAUUAGGAUCCUCCAUUGAUAACAAAGUAGGAAAAUAGUGUUCUUCAGGAUAACAAGACUGGAUUUUUACACAAGGUUUCUUAAAUUUCCUCCAUAGCUUACUAUCCUUGAUCACCAUCAAUGAAUGUUUUCUUGUAAUAACAAAAAACUGUGACCCAACACGGAAUUUAUCAAAACUCACUUCUGGUUCCAUCACAUUUUCCCCUCUAGCAUUAUACCUAUCUAAUAACGAAGGAGAUUCCGUAAGAAUCUCUAUAUAACUAGGGAACUCCAUCUUCCUAGAUAAUUUCUGGGUAUCCAACAGAAAAUUGUAGAAGUAAUUAAACGAGUGCAAAGGUAUACAAUGCUGAGAGAUAAGAGCAAAAUAAACAUUAUCUGGGUCAUCAAGCAAAGCGUGAGCUAGAAGGCGACGCGUGGCUGAGAUAAGUGUCGGUGAUGAGCGUUGAGUUCUCUUGGCAUGUAUAAAUCUGUCGGCGAAAACACCCACCGGAGGAUUAAUCUUCACUGUAGGAUCAGCGUGAAUGUAGAUAUUAUAGAGAUGUGGAUCAGACGCAUAGAAGAACUUGUGCCACAAGGGUUCAAAGUGCAAAUCUGAAUUCGUUAAAAAGAGAAAAGCGAUUUUAGGGCGGCGAACGGUGGUGGAACCGAGACGGAAUUUGUUGGAAGGGUGUUUCCUGGAUGGUUUUUUGAGAAAAGUAGCAUCGGCGGCGAUGGCUUUGUGAAAAAGGGAAAGAUCGUCGAGUUCAUCAGGGAGAGAAAUGGGUAUUUGUCGUUGCGGAAGAAUUGACGGUGCUAAGUAAAAGAUGAUUGGGAUAGAGAUGAGAAGUGUAAGAGAUGGGACAAGGAUGUAGUAUUUGAACAUUGUUGAAGAAAAAGCACAAAAGGGGAAAUGGGUUUAGAGUGAAAGUACCAUUGAAAGGAGCUUAAAAAUGGGGAGAAGAAGAAAGGGGGUUUGGGGAUUAGGGUUUGGGGGAGAGAUUAGAGGUGAAGAUGAAGAAGUGAGCAUUUGGAUUGAGAUUUGAGAAGAGAGAG
This 1773-nucleotide unclassified non-coding RNA is filed under the name Hevea brasiliensis (rubber tree). The record is from RNAcentral. Lineage: Eukaryota; Viridiplantae; Streptophyta; Magnoliopsida; Malpighiales; Euphorbiaceae.